RNAcentral lists this ribosomal RNA (254 nucleotides) under uncultured bacterium. RNAcentral describes it as "partial 16S ribosomal RNA". It matches the Rfam family "Bacterial small subunit ribosomal RNA", at positions 524 to 776 of the family's 1533-position model. The record is from RNAcentral.
UACGUAGGGGGCGAGCGUUGUCCGGAUUUAUUGGGCGUAAAGAGCUCGUAGGCGGCUUGGUAAGUCAGGUGUGAAACCUCCAGGCUCAACCUGGAGACGCCACUUGAUACUGCCAUAGCUAGAGUCCGGUAGGGGAGCGUGGAAUUUCUGGUGUAGCGGUGAAAUGCGCAGAUAUCAGAAGGAACACCAGCGGCGAAGGCGGCGCUCUGGGCCGGAACUGACGCUGAGGAGCGAAAGCGUGGGUAGCAAACAGG